Long non-coding RNA from Sorghum bicolor (sorghum), 277 nucleotides. RefSeq lists it as uncharacterized. NCBI's taxonomy places the organism in Eukaryota, Viridiplantae, Streptophyta, Magnoliopsida, Poales, Poaceae. The transcript has 2 exons. The record is from RefSeq and is a predicted model, not a curated record.
CGUCGUACAGGCUUUCUUGAGAUCGUCCGGGUCUACAACAGUGCACUCCCCACUCUAGACCCUGCAGUUCUUACAGCUUUUGUUGAUAGGUGGAGACCAGAGACGCACACCUUCCACACACCUUGUGGAGAAAUGACUAUCACAUUGCAGGAUGUGAAGAUGAUAUUGUGUUUGAGUUUGUCUGGUCAUCCGGUGACUGGGGUCGUCGAUGAGUCUACUUGGCUAGACUUGGUGGAGCAGUUUUGUGGCAGGCGGCCAUCAGAUGCUGAAGUUAAAG